GUAGGGAAUAUUGGACAAUGGGCGAAAGCCUGAUCCAGCCAUGCCGCGUGGACGAUGAAGGCCUUCGGGUUGUAAAGUCCUUUUAUAGGGGAAGAACCACUUGGGGAGGAAAUGCCCUGAGCCUGACGGUACCCUAUGAAUAAGCAACGGCUAACUCCGUGCCAGCAGCCGCGGUAAUACGGAGGUUGCGAGCGUUGUUCGGAUUUACUGGGCGUAAAGGGAGCGCAGGCGGCUUGGUCAGUCUAAAGUGAAAGCCCGGGGCUCAACCCCGGAAGUGCUUUGGAUACUACCAGGCUUGAGUACGUGAGAGGUGAGUGGAAUUCCAGGUGUAGCGGUGAAAUGCGUAGAUAUCUGGAGGAACACCGGUGGCGAAGGCGGCUCACUGGCACGAAACUGACGCUGAGGCUCGAAAGCGUGGGGAGCGAACGGG
This 430-nucleotide ribosomal RNA is filed under the name uncultured bacterium. RNAcentral describes it as "bacterial SSU rRNA". It matches the Rfam family "Bacterial small subunit ribosomal RNA", at positions 354 to 776 of the family's 1533-position model. The record is from RNAcentral.